This 253-nucleotide ribosomal RNA is filed under the name uncultured bacterium. RNAcentral's name for it is "partial 16S ribosomal RNA". It matches the Rfam family "Bacterial small subunit ribosomal RNA", at positions 524 to 776 of the family's 1533-position model. The record is from RNAcentral.
UACGAAGGGGGCUAGCGUUGUUCGGAUUUACUGGGCGUAAAGCGCACGUAGGCGGAUCGUUAAGUCGGGGGUGAAAUCCUGGAGCUCAACUCCAGAACUGCCUUCGAUACUGGCGAUCUUGAGUCCGGAAGAGGUGAGUGGAACUCCUAGUGUAGAGGUGGAAUUCGUAGAUAUUAGGAAGAACACCAGUGGCGAAGGCGGCUCACUGGUCCGGUACUGACGCUGAGGUGCGAAAGCCAGGGGAGCAAACGGG